GGUGGUUGGUAGAGAUUAGGAGAGGAAUUUGGUUUAUUGUUAUUUUUCCAGUUUCUUAAUUUGAUUUUGACUUAUUACUUUUAUUUGAUUCAUUUGAUUUUAUUCACUUUUAUUUGGUUUAUUAUUUUACUUUUUUAUUUUAACACUUUUAUGUUACUUUUUUGUUCUCUUCUCCCUUUCCCCUCCUUGCGCUUUGUGGACCUGCUGGCUUGAACAUGGGCAUCACACACAGGAACUGAAGUGGCACUUCCAUCAUCUGCUCUGGAGCUUCUGACAGAGACCCCCAAUGCUUCACACCUACUCCUCCUGCUUAACGACCUCUGAUGUUACUCCAUAGAGGAAAGUGGGGAGCCAAAAAACCUGGCAGCCAGCUGGCCUUUGCUCGUAGGUUCCCCCAUCUCAGAAUCAUCUAAGUCUGAGUCAGCACCUUUUAACUCUUCUGCUCUUCGCUACCCCUGCCAAACUUGGUAGAAAAAUAGACUAAGCAAAUCCUUCCUUGGCAGAUAAGACCAAUUCCUGUCAGCGAGGUUUUGAGACAACUGCAAGGUGUGAUAUGCUGGCAAUGAAAUGGUGCAUGCUAUCUUGUACUUUUAAAUUGAAUCUUUCCAUGUUUUGUAUUUUAUAGCUUUGUUAGC
Non-coding RNA from Podarcis muralis (Common wall lizard), 635 nucleotides. The record is from RefSeq and is a predicted model, not a curated record. Lineage: Eukaryota; Metazoa; Chordata; Lepidosauria; Squamata; Lacertidae.